UGCUCGAGCUCCGGCGCUGAUGCCCCGGUGGUCAGCGGCCACCGCAUUCAAGGGCCGACCGCAAUGUUCGGUAAGUACUAUUCCCCGUCAAGUCGACUGCUUCAAUCUGUCGGUUUCUCUCUAGGUCCUUUUUGUGUUCUGCCCAAAGAUUUUUGUAUUUUUUGUUGUAAAGAUAUUCUGGCACAUGCAGUUAUUUGUGUUGAGAUUGUUUCUUCACGUAGCUGAAUAUUUUGUUAUUGUGUAUUGCUGUAAAUGACCAUCAUUUUUCUUGAUUUUGUUGUUGAUUUUUGUGGUGAACCACUUGAGAAUCAGUUGGAAUUGUUGAAAAUAUUUAUGA
Long non-coding RNA from Lolium rigidum, 337 nucleotides. RefSeq lists it as uncharacterized. Lineage: Eukaryota; Viridiplantae; Streptophyta; Magnoliopsida; Poales; Poaceae. The record is from RefSeq and is a predicted model, not a curated record. The transcript has 2 exons.